RNAcentral lists this ribosomal RNA (414 nucleotides) under Triticum aestivum (bread wheat). RNAcentral describes it as "partial small subunit ribosomal RNA". The record is from RNAcentral. Lineage: Eukaryota; Viridiplantae; Streptophyta; Magnoliopsida; Poales; Poaceae.
AUGGGAGCUUUCCCUUCACCGCCCCCAUGGGGGUGGUCCACAAGGUUCAUAACUACCCCUCUUACUACGGGGCGUUUACCUAGCCAACACUUAGAUCCGGCUCUACCCAAACUUUUUUGGUUCACCCCAACAUUACCCACUUGUCCGACUGUUGCUAAGCAGUUUUGGGAUACUAAACGGACCUCCCCAGAUGGUAAUCUUAAAGUGGCCGAUUUACCCUCUUUUGCAAUGAAUUUUGCUACAACACCUGCUGCUCUAGCUAAUUGCCCACCCCUUCCACGCGUGAUUUCUAUGUUAUGCAUGGCCGUGCCUAAGGGAAUAUCAGUUGAAGUAGAUUCUUCUUUUCUCUCAAAAACCCCCUUCCCAAACUAUACAAGCUUCUUCCAAAGCAUACGGCUUUCUAGAUGUAUAUGA